AUUGAACGCUGGCGGCAUGCCUUACACAUGCAAGUCGAACGGAUCAGAGGGGCUUGCUCCUUUGGUUAGUGGCGAACGGGUGAGUAAAGCAUCGGAACGUACCCAGUUGUGGGGGAUAACGUAGCGAAAGGUACGCUAAUACCGCAUACGCACUGAGAGGGAAAGCGGGGGACCGAAAGGCCUCGCGCAAUUGGAGCGGCCGAUGUCGGAUUAGCUAGUCGGUGAGGUAAAGGCGCACCAAGGCGACGAUCCGUAGCUGGUCUGAGAGGACGACCAGCCACACUGGAACUGAGACACGGUCCAGACUCCUACGGGAGGCAGCAGUGGGGAAUUUUGGACAAUGGGCGAAAGCCUGAUCCAGCCAUGCCGCGUGAGUGAAGAAGGCCUUCGGGUUGUAAAGCUCUUUCAGACGGAAAGAAAUCUUUCGGGUGAAUAUCCCGAAAGGAUGACGGUACCGUAAGAAGAAGCACCGGCUAACUACGUGCCAGCCGCCGCCGUAA
RNAcentral lists this ribosomal RNA (500 nucleotides) under uncultured bacterium. RNAcentral's name for it is "partial 16S ribosomal RNA". It matches the Rfam family "Bacterial small subunit ribosomal RNA", at positions 29 to 523 of the family's 1533-position model. The record is from RNAcentral.